UUAUUAUUUACAUUAAUAAUUUAUUUGUGCAAUUCAAAUGGGUUUGAUUUAUUUAUUUUAUUAUUUAUUUUAUUAUUUAUUUUAUUUUUAUAAAAAUAAUUUUAUUUUUAGUAAUUUUUGUUGAAAUAUUUUUUUUAUUUAUAGUUUAUUAGUAUCGUGAGAGAAUUAUUUUAAUUUUAUAAAAGAAUUAUUUUAGUUAAGUACCUUUUGCAUCAGGGUUUAUUAAUUUUUAAUUAAUUAUUUUAUUUUUCCCGAAAUUAUAAGAUUUAUAUUUAUAUGAUUUUUAAUGUUUUAAAAUUAUAUUUAAUUUAAAUAUAGUGGUGAUAUGCUAUUCAUUUAUUAAUAUAUCUGGUUUUUUAAUAAUUUUAUUUAAUAAAGAAUUAUUUUUUAGUAUUAUAAUUUUAUUUAUAUUGUUUUAUAAUUUUAAUCAAUAAAGGAUAAGCUUUUUUGAUUUUAUAUAACUUAUUUAUAUUAAAAGUUUUGUAGGAUUAGUAACUUUCAUCAUUAAUUUCGUUAUAGUUUAACUUUUUUUAUUUUUUAUUUAUUUUUGUUUAUUUUUUUAUUAAAUUUUUUUAAUAAAUUUUAUUUUAUAUGUAAUAAUGAUAGAAUUAGUAUUUUUUAAAAUAAGAUAUAGUAAUUCGGCAAUUUUAAUUUUCACCUGUUUAUCAAAAACAUGUCUUUUUGUUUUUUUAUAUAAAGUCUGACCUGCUCUAUGAUUAUUAUUAAAUGGCCGCAGUAUUUUAACUGUGCAAAGGUAGCAUGAUCAUUUGUCUUUUAAUUAGAGGCUUGUAUGAAUGGUCUGAUGAGAGAUUAACUUUCUUUGUUUUAUUUUAGAAAACUUUAUUUAUUAGUUAAAAAGCUAAUAUAUUUUUAUUAGACGAGAAGACC
Molecule: ribosomal RNA, 888 nt
Filed under: Anthocoris dividens
Lineage: Eukaryota; Metazoa; Arthropoda; Insecta; Hemiptera; Anthocoridae
Description: partial 16S ribosomal RNA
Rfam family: Bacterial large subunit ribosomal RNA (bases 656-806)
Source: RNAcentral